UUUGCUUCGGCAACACAUGCUAAAAUUGGAACGAUACAGAGAUUAGCAUGGCCCCUGCGCAAGGAUGACACACACAAAAAACUUACUUCCAGAAUUCCU
Molecule: small nuclear RNA, 99 nt
Filed under: Echinops telfairi (small Madagascar hedgehog)
Lineage: Eukaryota; Metazoa; Chordata; Mammalia; Afrosoricida; Tenrecidae
Source: RNAcentral